Molecule: ribosomal RNA, 468 nt
Filed under: uncultured bacterium
Lineage: Bacteria
Description: partial 16S ribosomal RNA
Rfam family: Bacterial small subunit ribosomal RNA
Source: RNAcentral
GACGAACGCUGGCGGCGUGCUUAACACAUGCAAGUCGAACGGAAAGUCCCUGCUUUUUGGGGGUGCUCGAGUGGCGAACGGGUGAGUAACACGUGAGUAACCUGCCCUUGACUUUGGGAUAACUUCAUGAAACUGGGGCUAAUACCGGAUAGGAGCUCCUGCUUCAUGGUGGGGGUUGGAAAGUUUCGGCGGUUGGGGAUGGACUCGCGGCUUAUCAGCUUGUUGGUGGGGUAGUGGAUUACCAAGGCUUUGACGGGUAGCCGGCCUGAGAGGGUGACCGGCCCCAUUGGGACUGAGAUACGGCCCAGACUCCAACGGGAGGCAGCAGUGGGGAAUAGUGCACAAUGGGCGGAAGCCUGAUGCAGCAACGCCGCGUGCGGGAUGACGGCCUUCGGGUUGUAAACCGCUUUCGCCUGUGACGAAGCGUGAGUGACGGUAAUGGGUAAAGAAGCACCGGCUAACUACGUG